Molecule: long non-coding RNA, 2744 nt
Organism: Cephus cinctus (wheat stem sawfly)
Lineage: Eukaryota; Metazoa; Arthropoda; Insecta; Hymenoptera; Cephidae
Exons: 7
Source: RefSeq, a predicted model, not a curated record
CUAUACAAUUCUUGGCGCCUUGUGCACGUUCCUUGUGGAUGCUUCCCUAUACGCCUCAUCCCCAGUACACAUCCAGCAGGCGAAGGUAAGAGAAAUUAUUAAUUUUUCCCCCCAGUGUGGCACGUGCGUCUCGUCAACCUGACCGCCCUCCUCUCUGAUCCGCACCCUUUGAAAACUUAUAUUGCUUCUCUGUCCUUCAGCGCCAUUUCUGUAUUCUUCUAAUCGUAAGCAGUAAAGUUGUGGAGACACCUCGUGGAAGAGGUCUUGCGGCGCAGAGGCGUGACGAGCAAAGACAUAAACCUGCCGGUCAUGAAGGAAAGAUGAUUCCCGGCUAGGCGAGCCGCUUAGAAUGUAAAGGCAUAUACGUGUCUAUGUGUAUAGAAUAGCCGUGGGGCAAGGAGGGUGUACCUACAUGUCUUGCUCGAUGAUUGCUGUGUAUUUACGAGCUCAUUACCACAAGGAGAAGCAAGAGAGAAAUAGAAAACCGGAAGUGACUGGAUACAAUGGAUUCGAGUGGACAGUUGGAAAUAACGUCCCUGGGACUGAAUAUUUUUGCCAAAAUGAAACGCAUUCGUGAAACAGACAAAAAUUUGUUUAUUUCUUGGGUGGCCGUUUCACCAUUCAGUGUUGCCAAGGAGAGGAGGGAAACGCGCGAAAUUUGAAAUUGGAAAACGCCGGACCCACUAACCAGGGAAAUUAAUUGAAGUCUGAGUGGUCAGAUGAAAGCAGAGAAGAUGAAGAGCUACAGAGGAACUAGGAAGGUGACUAUUGGUGACUAGGCAGACGGUUAGGGAAACCGGACGUGGAGCAUCAAGGUUCUGACGCUAACCAAUACUCGAUAACCAGGCAGACGCAGGCUUCCCACGCGCAAGAAGGUUAAAAUAUCCAUGUCUCCCUGCCAGUCUCCCUGAAAACCUGGAAACCUGGAUGCCUGGCUGUCUACGUCUGCCCGAUGCCUACCCAACCAAAUGGCAAAUACCAAUAACCAAUUCACAGAGGACCAGCCAACCCGAGAGGCUGCGGAGGUAGAGAAGUCCUGGCGCAGUACACAGUAAUACCGGGAAGUUCGGUCCGGCUCACGCAGGAUAAUGGAGAUUGACAUCACUGAGAAACACACAACUACAGUGUUCAGCCUGUCUAAAGGCUGGUCUUCGAUUUUCGUCCUACACCGUUGGACCCAAGGGGCUGUUGGUUCGUCGGGGGUAGGUUAAGGGUUGGAAACGGAAGUGCGGCAAGACGGCGGACCCCGGUGCGGGUGGGCAGGCAAGGAAGCAAGCAAGCAAGUAUACUUGGGUAGGACGGCGAGGGAACGCAACGGGGCUCAAACGGAGAACGGGGUAAAAUGGGGCUGAGACGGGGUUGAGACUGGGCUGAGAAGGAAGCCAAGACCACCACCUCACCUCGCCUCUUUGCCACGCCACGCCUCGCCUCACAAUGCACCGGAUUAGCGAUUGUAUUGAUCCGCCCUCGCUAGUCCCUAGCCCCUUCCUGCAAAGGAGCCACAUUUUGGCCGACUGCAUUCUCCCGAAAGCCCAAGGAAAAAUAGCUAACCGAUAUUCGAACGCCGAGGACAGCGAAAAAGAAGGAAGUAUGCGUACACUUUUCAAUGGAGGGUAUAGUGACAGCGAAGGACGUUGAGUUUUGUACUUCCAGAGGCAAGGAUUGCAUCACGGUCUUCCUGGAGCUUGUAUAAUACUACGGUAACCUUCAAAUUAUCAGAUACUUUGAUUUCUGUUCGUGAUCGAUCUUCUUAUAAAAAUAGUGAAGGAUGAUGCGAGAGAGAAAGAGCAAACGUCAGUUUACGAGAACCUCCAGAAUACUAGGUUACAGAGAGACUUGGGCAAAAAUUCAGACUCUUAGAAAAGCUCUUUUGGUCGUACAAAGAAUUGCGAAGACGAGAAGGCGGAACCAGCUGAGGGAACGCGGUCAUUCGUCAAGCGUUCAAAGAAAAACAGAACUUAUAUCAAAGAGAAUGUAUCCUGGGUGAUAGCUGGAAUUUGAAGUAUAAAAUUCAAAAAUUUUGAUGUUUGAUAAAAAUGGAAGUGCAGCAGCAUAUCGCAUCUACGUAUAAUUUUAAGACGGGCUAUGAAGUUCACUGUCGUGGCCAUUUUGCUGUGGAAACUAUGGCUGCGUGAUUGCCAAUGGCGUUGGAGAAACUUGACGUUGGGACGGCUGAGGGGUCGUGAAGUCGACGAAGAGGGCCACAGGCAGUUCAGGGGGUUGUGCAUCACGGCGAAGGGCUUGCGUUUAUGGGGUUGAGACUUAGCCAUGUGCGUGAGGAUGUCAAAGUGUUCGUGGCUAUGGGUUUGCCGAGCUGGGGUUCAGAAUGAGGGUGUGGAAGUGGGUGGUAGUGGAACCAUCCUUACUUUUGAACGCCAUGGCUCCCUGUCUCGUUUAGUCAGUGUCGAACGCUGCCUUAGAGAACACUCUUGGAAGUCUCUCCGAAGCUUCUUUUUCCCCCUUCAUUUUCUAGUGUCGAUAAAUUGUGGCACGUUUGUUAUCUUGAAGGCUUGUAGAAUAAGGUUUGACGUUUCUAUGCUGGCGCAUGGGCUGUAGAACAAGAAUAAAUUUUUUCUAUAAUGAUAGAGUCAUCUUCAUAAAGAUAAAUUGAUUAUUACAUCAAUUAAUUAUUAAUAGAAUCCGCUAUAGAAUUGAAACUUAUAGAAAGAAAAUUUAAUUUCGAAAGCAGGUCAGACCAUGAGAUCAGUAGAUAUCACAUGCGACACGUGGUGAUGAUAAGAUGA